GUGACAGCAGCCGCGGUAAUACGAAGGGGGCUAGCGUUGUUCGGAAUUACUGGGCGUAAAGCGCACGUAGGCGGAUCGAUCAGUCAGGGGUGAAAUCCCAGAGCUCAACUCUGGAACUGCCUUUGAUACUGUCGAUCUAGAGUAUGGAAGAGGUGAGUGGAAUUCCGAGUGUAGAGGUGAAAUUCGUAGAUAUUCGGAGGAACACCAGUGGCGAAGGCGGCUCACUGGUCCAUUACUGACGCUGAGGUGCGAAAGCGUGGGGAGCAAACAGGAUUAGACCCUAGUAGUCC
RNAcentral lists this ribosomal RNA (290 nucleotides) under uncultured bacterium. RNAcentral's name for it is "partial 16S ribosomal RNA". It matches the Rfam family "Bacterial small subunit ribosomal RNA", at positions 505 to 796 of the family's 1533-position model. The record is from RNAcentral.